UGCAAGUCGAGGGGUAUAGGAAGCUUGCUUUCUAGAGACCGGCGCACGGGUGCGUAACGCGUAUGCAAUCUACCUUUUGCAGAGGGAUAGCCCAGAGAAAUUUGGAUUAAUACCUCAUAGUAUAACGACUCCGCAUCGAGAUGUUAUUAAAGUCACAACGGCAAAAGAUGAGCAUGCGUCCCAUUAGCUAGUUGGUAAGGUAACGGCUUACCAAGGCAACGAUGGGUAGGGGUCCUGAGAGGGAGAUCCCCCACACUGGUACUGAGACACGGACCAGACUCCUACGGGAGGCAGCAGUGAGGAAUAUUGGACAAUGGGCGCAAGCCUGAUCCAGCCAUGCCGCGUGCAGGAUGACGGUCCUAUGGAUUGUAAACUGCUUUUAUACGAGAAGAAACACUCCGACGUGUCGGAGCUUGACGGUAUCGUAAGAAUAAGGAUCGGCUAACUCCGUGCCAGCAGCCGCGGUAAUACGGAGGAUCCAAGCGUUAUCCGGAAUCAUUGGGUUUAAAGGGUCCGUAGGCGGUUUAAUAAGUCAGUGGUGAAAGCCCAUCGCUCAACGGUGGAACGGCCAUUGAUACUGUUAAACUUGAAUUAUUAGGAAGUAACUAGAAUAUGUAGUGUAGCGGUGAAAUGCUUAGAGAUUACAUGGAAUACCAAUUGCGAAGGCAGGUUACUACUAAUGGAUUGACGCUGAUGGACGAAAGCGUGGGUAGCGAACAGGAUUAGAUACCCUGGUAGUCCACGCCGUAAACGAUGGAUACUAGCUGUUGGGAGCAAUCUCAGUGGCUAAGCGAAAGUGAUAAGUAUCCCACCUGGGGAGUACGUUCGCAAGAAUGAAACUCAAAGGAAUUGACGGGGGCCCGCACAAGCGGUGGAGCAUGUGGUUUAAUUCGAUGAUACGCGAGGAACCUUACCAAGGCUUAAAUGUAGAUUGACCGGUUUGGAAACAGACUUUUCGCAAGACAAUUUACAAGGUGCUGCAUGGUUGUCGUCAGCUCGUGCCGUGAGGUGUCAGGUUAAGUCCUAUAACGAGCGCAACCCCU
Molecule: ribosomal RNA, 1043 nt
Filed under: Flavobacterium psychroterrae
Lineage: Bacteria; Pseudomonadati; Bacteroidota; Flavobacteriia; Flavobacteriales; Flavobacteriaceae
Description: bacterial SSU rRNA
Rfam family: Bacterial small subunit ribosomal RNA
Source: RNAcentral